Cynara cardunculus var. scolymus (artichoke) is the source of this 619-nucleotide long non-coding RNA. RefSeq lists it as uncharacterized. The record is from RefSeq and is a predicted model, not a curated record. The transcript has 2 exons. Lineage: Eukaryota; Viridiplantae; Streptophyta; Magnoliopsida; Asterales; Asteraceae.
AGAUUUGUAAGGGGUUGGAAUUUGGAACAAGUGCUGCUCAAACUUUGUCUCCAUUCAGCCACCUGUGUUAUAUAUCACCACCAAAGUAUGAUCCCAUUCUUAGCUAAAGAGGGAAAUAAAUAACCAACCCUUUUUCUCAUUUCAAGAAAGUAUUUGUUCCUUAUAGCCUUAUAGGGGAUGAUGAUCAAGAGGGAUUGCAUCCCAACAGAUUGUGUACACGGCUACGAAUCAGAAAUUCAUACUCUCUUCUUAACCGUCUAUCGAAGUCCUUACAGAUGAAUAUCUUUAUGAGAUCUUGUCAAGCUCGGAGUGCUUCAAUUUGUAUCUCAAACUGUUGGUUCACCCUCGGAUAUUGUUCAUAAUGGAUUUCUUAGGAGAAUGAUGGGUUUCUUGCAAGGUGUUCAGAAGGAAAGAAAGCAACAGUUGGCAGAUUUCUUUCUUCGGCUCCCAGGUCUUGUUAAAAACACUCAAUCUCUUGCAUAUAUAGAUUAUCAUCCCCUGUUCUAUUUGUGGCUUAAUUACACACUCUUGGUCAUAUAGAGAAUCGCUUCCUUUAGACAUGCACUUUGUACCACAUGCUUGUUUCGAGUAAUUCAUUACUUGACAUCAAAAUCCUAUU